CUCGUAGGCGGCUCGGUAAGUCGGGUGUGAAACCUCCAGGCUCAACCUGGAGACGCCACCUGAUACUGCUGUGGCUAGAGUCCGGUAGGGGAGUGUGGAACUCCUGGUGUAGCGGUGAAAUGCGCAGAUAUCAGGAAGAACACCAGCGGCGAAGGCGGCACUCUGGGCCGGAACUGACGCUGAGGAGCGAAAGCGUGGGUAGCAAACA
This 208-nucleotide ribosomal RNA is filed under the name uncultured bacterium. Its description in RNAcentral is "partial 16S ribosomal RNA". It matches the Rfam family "Bacterial small subunit ribosomal RNA", at positions 568 to 774 of the family's 1533-position model. The record is from RNAcentral.